Molecule: long non-coding RNA, 1414 nt
Filed under: Mus musculus (house mouse)
Lineage: Eukaryota; Metazoa; Chordata; Mammalia; Rodentia; Muridae
Description: long non-coding RNA chr11:88165780-88167194
Source: RNAcentral
UCCUGUUUCUGAACUACUUUCUCCAAACCCACAGAGCUGCCUUGGUGGAAAGAGCUAGGCUUUUCCAUUGCCCAUGCCAUGUCCUUGAGCUCCUUUCUGCCUCUCCAACUGUGCUCAUGUGGGGACACAGUUGCAGGGGCAGGUUUGGGUAGUCACAGGAACCAGGGUGUGUCCUGCUGCAGAGGCCUCAGGGCCUGGCUUGUGCCGGGAGAUCCACGUAUCCAUCCACGUAUCCAUCCACGUAUCCAUCAGUGAUCUGGAGGAAAGCCCUGGGUUGAUAGCCAGAGGCUGGGAAAGAGCCCCUGUGGCCUCCCUCUUUCCCUUCCACGGGGCAGUGCAGCUGCACACUCCUACCCAAGCCUGCAGGCAGUCUGCCACAGGCUGAGGGCCGGUUUGUUUCUUCUACAUGGAAACAGUGUAAGCCCCUAAGAGCAGGACCCUGGGGUAAACAGUCAGUUCCAGGAUGCCUUGCCAGGGUGUCUCAACACUCAGAGACCCAGAACCCCAGGGACCUGUGAGAGGGGGUUCAUGGAAUAAAUGUGAGCCCACUAUUUUUCUUCUUUCUCUUCAUGGAGUUGCCCUUGGCAGAGCGACAAGCCUGGUCGCUAAUCUUUCUGUCUGAAUUACACUCGGGGCAGGGAGAUGGUAGUGUAUUCUCAAGGGCCUUAAUCAGAGCCUCUGAACCCAUGUGUAAUAUCAUCAGGGCUUGGCUUCUGGGGCCUGGUGGCCCAGAGGUUAGAGACUUGAAUGUAGGCCUUCUCUCUUGACAGAAGCACUGAAUUGCCUCAGACCUCCUACGGUAGGGGUGGGCAGGAGGGGAGAGGAGGCCAUAUGUAUUUGGCAACUUUCUUGGACUCAUUCUCACAACCCAAUCCCUAGACUGAUCAUCCGCGGCCACCCUUGUGACAUGACUCUGGCCUCCCUUGGCCGUGACUUGCUCCUCUGGGCAGGCAGGAAAUAGAGGGAGUGGGAUGGUAAUUCCUGAUUCACUUAGUUGACAAGCAUGUCACGCGAUGAGGUGGGUCUCUGUUGUGAUGUGGGACGAUGCCUACAAUGUGCCAUUAAGUAGAUAAAUGUAGUGGUACAGUAGUAGAAGUUAUGGUUUAAUUACAUAGCAAAACAAACUUAUGCGCAUGGUAGCAUGUGUAAGGAUGUCAUACCUACACAUGGUGUGGGCACAUGAUCUCAUUUAGGAGUUCUCUCAGGGCAGGAAGGGACUUCAGUGCCCACUAGCUAUUCAGAACCUGUAUGCUUGUAAUUUCCCACUUUCAAAUCCAACCCAUCAGGUGGGCACAGUGGUAUAUGGCUAUAAUUCCAGCACUUGGAUAGUGAAGGCAGGAAGACCAUGAGUUCAAGAUCAUCCUUAGCUACAUAGUGAGUUCAAGGAUAGCCUGGACUACAUGACACCCUGUCU